Molecule: ribosomal RNA, 265 nt
Filed under: uncultured bacterium
Lineage: Bacteria
Description: partial 16S ribosomal RNA
Rfam family: Bacterial small subunit ribosomal RNA
Source: RNAcentral
GACAGAGGAGCCAAGCGUUGUCCGGACUGACUGGGCGUAAAGCGCACGCAGGCGGCGCUGCGCGUGGGGUGUGAAAGCUCUUGGCUUAACUGAGAGAGGCCAUCCCAUACGGCAGCGCUCGAGCCAUGUAGAGGUCCGCGGAAUUGCCGGUGUAGUGGUGAAAUGCGUAGAGAUCGGCAGGAACACCCAGGGGGAAACCAGCGGACUGGGCAUGAGCUGACGCUCAGGUGCGACAGCGUGGGGAGCGAACCGGAUUAGAAACCCU